GACAGAGGUUGCAAACGUUGUUCGGAAUUACUGGGCAUAAAGCGCACGUAGGCGGUCCGUUAAGUCAUGUGUGAAAUCCCCCGGCUCAACCGGGGAAUUGCGCCUGAUACUGGCGGGCUAGAGAUCGAUAGGGGUGAUCGGAACUCCAGGUGGAGCGGUGAAAUGCGUAGAUAUCUGGAGGAACACCGGUGGCGAAAGCGGAUCACUGGAUCGAAACUGACGCUGAGGUGCGAAAGCUAGGGUAGCAAACGGG
Molecule: ribosomal RNA, 253 nt
Filed under: uncultured bacterium
Lineage: Bacteria
Description: partial 16S ribosomal RNA
Rfam family: Bacterial small subunit ribosomal RNA
Source: RNAcentral